GCGGAAAUAGCUCAGUUGGUAGAGCACAACCUUGCCAAGGUUGGGGUCGCGAGUUCGAGUCUCGUUUUCCGCU
Bacteroides sp. CAG:702 is the source of this 73-nucleotide non-coding RNA. Lineage: Bacteria; Pseudomonadati; Bacteroidota; Bacteroidia; Bacteroidales; Bacteroidaceae. The record is from Rfam.